UACGUAGGGGGCUAGCGUUGUUCGGAAUUACUGGGCGUAAAGCGUACGUAGGCGGCUUUGUAAGUUAGAGGUGAAAGCCCGGGGCUCAACUCCGGAAUUGCCUUUAAGACUGCAUCGCUUGAAUCAUGGAGAGGUUAGUGGAAUUCCGAGUGUAGAGGUGAAAUUCGUAGAUAUUCGGAAGAACACCAGUGGCGAAGGCGACUCGCUGGACAGACAUUGACGCUGAGGUGCGAAAGCGUGGGGAGCAAACAGG
RNAcentral lists this ribosomal RNA (253 nucleotides) under uncultured bacterium. RNAcentral describes it as "partial 16S ribosomal RNA". It matches the Rfam family "Bacterial small subunit ribosomal RNA", at positions 524 to 776 of the family's 1533-position model. The record is from RNAcentral.